UGCCUGUUCCGCUAGAUGGUUUGUUCUUCACAUUUAUCCGGAUGGUUUCACCUUCCUAGGAACCAAACUACCCAGAGUUACUCAUUUAGGUGAAUAACUGAGUAACUGACUGCAUUCGAGGACAACCCACUAUGACAAGAAUAGAGUGAAGCAAUCACCAACUGUAAAUCACUUUUAAAAUGGUACACAACUGAGUAACUGACUGCAUUCGAGGACAAUCCACUAUGACAAGAAUAGAGUGAAGCAAUCACCAACUGUAAAUCACUUUUAAAAUGGUACAGAAACCACGAUAUAGACAAAGCUCAAAGUAAGAUCGCGCAGAAAAUGGAGUAAAUUGCAUCACCAACGAAAAAUCACUUUUAAAAUGGUAUAGAAAUAAUAUAGACAAGGCUCAAUUAAUGCAAGUUCACACAGAAAAUGGAGUAAAUUGCAUACAAAGAAAACCAACUCACUGGAAUAAAUUUCACAUAGAUAUUCACACGAUGGUCGAUUGGAUUGGAAACAGUCUCUCUGUCCUUUCGGGUAGGGGUAAGGCAUGUCUACAUAUUACCCUCCCCAGACCCCACUUUGUGGAACUAUACUGGGUAGUAGUUGUUGUUGUUGUAUUCACACGAUGUCAUAUUUAACUUUUACUCAUGAGUUAUGACUCAAUAUCCGAUAAACUAAAUAACAUUGGUUAAGAAUCUGAUCAAUCCGAGUAAUUUGAUGCUCUCUACUCAUAGCGUGCCUUUAAUCUCAUAUGAAGUAAUUCAAUAAGUACGUAAUUGAAGCCUAUAUCCAAUUUAAAAUGUAAACCACAUAUUUUUAAGAGGAGGGCUAGUUCUUUUCAAUCACCACCACCCCUUACUCCACGAAAACAUUUCAAAGAAACAAGCAAUCAACAACAUAUCAAUGAUAAAUUAGAUGGGAUUAGCUAUAUGAAUUUUUUGUAUAAAAAAAAAGGCAGCCCGUUGCAUUAA
RNAcentral lists this long non-coding RNA (959 nucleotides) under Nicotiana benthamiana. RNAcentral describes it as "long non-coding RNA (NBEN_LNC005715)". The record is from RNAcentral. Lineage: Eukaryota; Viridiplantae; Streptophyta; Magnoliopsida; Solanales; Solanaceae.